CGGACGGGUGAGUAAUGCAUAGGAAUCUGCUUGGUAGUGGGGGACAACGUUUKGAAAGGAACGCUAAUACCGCAUACGUCCUACGGGAGAAAGCAGGGGACCUUCGGGCCUUGCGCUAUCAGAUGAGCCUAGGUCGGAUUAGCUAGUUGGUGGGGUAAUGGCUCACCAAGGCGACGAUCCGUAACUGGUCUGAGAGGAUGAUCAGUCACACUGGAACUGAGACACGGUCCAGACUCCUACGGGAGGCAGCAGUGGGGAAUAUUGGACAAUGGGCGAAAGCCUGAUCCAGCCAUGCCGCGUGUGUGAAGAAGGUCUUCGGAUUGUAAAGCACUUUAAGUUGGGAGGAAGGGCAGUAAGUUAAUACCUUGCUGUUUUGACGUUACCGACAGAAUAAGCACCGGCUAACUUUGUGCCAGCAGCCGCGGUAAUACAGAGGGUGCAAGCGUUAAUCGGAAUUACUGGGCGUAAAGCGCGCGUAGGUGGUUUGUUAAGUYGGAUGUGAAAGCCCCGGGCUCAACCUGGGAACUGCAUCCAAAACUGGCAAGCUAGAGUACGGUAGAGGGUGGUGGAAUUUCCUGUGUAGCGGUGAAAUGCGUAGAUAUCGGAAGGAACACCAGUGGCGAAGGCGACCAUCCUGGA
RNAcentral lists this ribosomal RNA (639 nucleotides) under Pseudomonas sp. Its description in RNAcentral is "bacterial SSU rRNA". It matches the Rfam family "Bacterial small subunit ribosomal RNA", at positions 99 to 733 of the family's 1533-position model. The record is from RNAcentral. Lineage: Bacteria; Pseudomonadati; Pseudomonadota; Gammaproteobacteria; Pseudomonadales; Pseudomonadaceae.